AAUAAGCGGAGGAAAAGAAACCAACCGGGAUUGCCUCAGUAACGGCGAGUGAAGCGGCAACAGCUCAAAUUUGAAAGCCCGCGGGCGUUGUAAUUUGCAGGCGGAUGUUUUGGGGCGGGCGCUGUCUACGUUCCUUGGAACAGGACGCCGCAGAGGGUGAGAGCCCCGUGCGAUGGCGCCUUUAACCGCGUAAAACUCCGCCGACGAGUCGAGUUGUUUGGGAAUGCAGCUCUAAGUGGGUGGUAAAUUCCAUCUAAAGCUAAAUACUGGCGAGAGACCGAUAGCGAACAAGUACAGUGAUGGAAAGAUGAAAAGCACUUUGAAAAGAGAGUGAAACAGCACGUGAAAUUGUUGAAAGGGAAGGGUAUGCGAUUAGCGGCCAGCAGGAGGUGCGUUCUCGCGAAAAGGCCGUGCACCGUCUUCGGACACCGUGCGCGGAGAUGGCGAGGGGGCGCCUGAGGUCUGCGACUCGA
RNAcentral lists this ribosomal RNA (473 nucleotides) under Diutina rugosa. RNAcentral's name for it is "eukaryotic LSU rRNA". It matches the Rfam family "Eukaryotic large subunit ribosomal RNA", at positions 45 to 483 of the family's 3401-position model. Lineage: Eukaryota; Fungi; Ascomycota; Pichiomycetes; Serinales; Debaryomycetaceae. The record is from RNAcentral.